CGGCCCAAUAGACUCAACUGCCAAGAUAGUCCCUGUAUCGUAGGGGAGGCCGUUAUUUGCCUCUAUCUUGGUUGGAGCCGUUCCGCUAUUCGCGGGUAAAGGAUAAGCUCCGUGACAGAUGUGGUUGGAUGAAUGGGCACGUGCUAAACGUGCUGCUUAGCUGUUAAGCUACGGUAGAAUGGAUCAACAUGCAUGGAUAGAUGAGCACGUGUUUAACGUGCUGCCUAUCCGUUAUGUCGAUCAGGGCACGUCACUGGCUGACGUGUCGGGGAAGUCUCCCCUUAUUGGGCUGUGCCCUAAAUGUCGG
This 307-nucleotide long non-coding RNA is filed under the name Trifolium pratense (red clover). RNAcentral's name for it is "long non-coding RNA (TPRA_LNC005832)". Lineage: Eukaryota; Viridiplantae; Streptophyta; Magnoliopsida; Fabales; Fabaceae. The record is from RNAcentral.